RNAcentral lists this ribosomal RNA (403 nucleotides) under bacterium. RNAcentral's name for it is "partial 16S ribosomal RNA". It matches the Rfam family "Bacterial small subunit ribosomal RNA", at positions 355 to 776 of the family's 1533-position model. The record is from RNAcentral.
UGGGGAAUAUUGCACAAUGGAGGGAACUCUGAUGCAGCGACGCCGCGUGAACGAAGAAGGCUUUCGAGUCGUAAAGUUCUUUUAUAUGGGAAGAUAAUGACGGUACCAUAAGAAAAAGCCCCGGCUAACUACGUGCCAGCAGCCGCGGUAAUACGUAGGGGGCUAGCGUUGUCCGGAAUCACUGGGCGUAAAGGGUUCGCAGGCGGAGAUGCAAGUCAGGUGUAAAAGGCAGUAGCUUAACUACUGUAAGCAUUUGAAACUGCAUAUCUUGAGAAGAGUAGAGGUAAGUGGAAUUUUUAGUGUAGCGGUGAAAUGCGUAGAUAUUAAAGAGAAUACCGGUGGCGAAGGCGGCUUACUGGGCUCAUUCUGACGCUGAGGAACGAAAGCGUGGGUAGCAAACAGG